CCCGCCCCCACCACCUCAGGUGAGCCACCAAUCUCCUCUUGGGGAGAGGCUUCCCUCCUGCAGCCGCCAUUCAGAAGUACCAGGACUGUGGGCACCUGGAAGCUCGGCCUUGUAAACAAGGAAUGCAGGACCCCAGAGCCAAUAUGGAGCACCUCCCUGAGUAAAGCCCUGGGUGGAAAGAAUACACAUAAACGUGUCACAUCCUUCACCUUCCUAGACAACUGUGGCAAGCUCAUCUCACGUGACAGGAAGGACCACUGUGGCUGGCUGCUGGGCCAGCCUUGCUUGAGACCCUUUUGGAUUCUGCAGAUAAUAGACUGUUUGUCCAAGUUGAAAGAGGUCUGAAGUAGUCCGUGCCUGCUCAUUAUAAACCUGGGGACAAUGUCAUCAAGGGACACUGGAGACAAUCUAAGAAAUUAUACUCCCCAAAACAUUAGAUCCAGGUGCUGUGGACAUGUAAGAUGUGUCUUAGCUGGUUUCAGAAUGAUGGUUGGGGACAGAAGAAGCUUGAGGAGCCUCGACUUGGGUGGGAACCCUUCACCCUAUUCAGGAAGAAUAUUCCCAACUUCAAUAUGGGGACAUGGGAAGCCAUGUUGAGUGGGCAUCUCAGCACGUUUCCUUAUAUUCGCUUAAAAUAUAUUGAUUGUGUUUAUUGCCACAGUA
Molecule: long non-coding RNA, 663 nt
Organism: Peromyscus eremicus (cactus mouse)
Lineage: Eukaryota; Metazoa; Chordata; Mammalia; Rodentia; Cricetidae
Exons: 2
Source: RefSeq, a predicted model, not a curated record